This 432-nucleotide ribosomal RNA is filed under the name uncultured bacterium. RNAcentral describes it as "partial 16S ribosomal RNA". It matches the Rfam family "Bacterial small subunit ribosomal RNA", at positions 29 to 506 of the family's 1533-position model. The record is from RNAcentral.
AGCGAACGCUGGUGGCAGGCCUAACACAUGCAAGUCGAACGAACUCUUCGGAGUUAGUGGCGGACGGGUGAGUAACACGUGGGAACGUGCCUUUUGGUUCGGAAUAACUCAGGGAAACUUGUGCUAAUACCGAAUGUGCCCUUCGGGGGAAAGAUUUAUCGCCAUUAGAGCGGCCCGCGUCUGAUUAGCUAGUUGGUGAGGUAACGGCUCACCAAGGCGACGAUCAGUAGCUGGUCUGAGAGGAUGACCAGCCACACUGGGACUGAGACACGGCCCAGACUCCUACGGGAGGCAGCAGUGGGGAAUCUUGCGCAAUGGGCGAAAGCCUGACGCAGCCAUGCCGCGUGAAUGAUGAAGGUCUUAGGAUUGUAAAAUUCUUUCACCGGGGACGAUAAUGACGGUACCCGGAGAAGAAGCCCCGGCUAACUUCGU